This 454-nucleotide ribosomal RNA is filed under the name Shigella flexneri. RNAcentral describes it as "bacterial SSU rRNA". It matches the Rfam family "Bacterial small subunit ribosomal RNA", at positions 808 to 1262 of the family's 1533-position model. Lineage: Bacteria; Pseudomonadati; Pseudomonadota; Gammaproteobacteria; Enterobacterales; Enterobacteriaceae. The record is from RNAcentral.
GAUGUCGACUUGGAGGUUGUGCCCUUGAGGCGUGGCUUCCGGAGCUAACGCGUUAAGUCGACCGCCUGGGGAGUACGGCCGCAAGGUUAAAACUCAAAUGAAUUGACGGGGGCCCGCACAAGCGGUGGAGCAUGUGGUUUAAUUCGAUGCAACGCGAAGAACCUUACCUGGUCUUGACAUCCACGGAAGUUUUCAGAGAUGAGAAUGUGCCUUCGGGAACCGUGAGACAGGUGCUGCAUGGCUGUCGUCAGCUCGUGUUGUGAAAUGUUGGGUUAAGUCCCGCAACGAGCGCAACCCUUAUCCUUUGUUGCCAGCGGUCCGGCCGGGAACUCAAAGGAGACUGCCAGUGAUAAACUGGAGGAAGGUGGGGAUGACGUCAAGUCAUCAUGGCCCUUACGACCAGGGCUACACACGUGCUACAAUGGCGCAUACAAAGAGAAGCGACCUCGCGAGA